AGAGUUUGAUCCUGGCUCAGAACGAACGCUGGCGGCAUGCCUAACACAUGCAAGUCGAACGCUAUUUAUAGAGUGGCGCACGGGUGAGUAACGCGUGGGAACCUGCCUUUUUCUGCGGGAUAACGGUUGGAAACGACCGCUAAUACCGCAUACGCCCUACGGGGGAAAGGUCCGCCGGAGAAAGAGGGGCCCGCGUCUGAUUAGCUAGUUGGUGGGGUAACGGCCUACCAAGGCGACGAUCAGUAGCUGGUCUGAGAGGAUGAUCAGCCACACUGGGACUGAGACACGGCCCAGACUCCUACGGGAGGCAGCAGUGGGGAAUAUUGGACAAUGGGGGCAACCCUGAUCCAGCAAUGCCGCGUGUGUGAUGAAGGCCUUAGGGUUGUAAAGCACUUUCACUGGUGAAGAUGAUGACGGUAACCAGAGAAGAAGCCCCGGCUAACUUCGUGCCAGCAGCCGCGGUAAUACGAAGGGGGCGAGCGUUGUUCGGAAUUACUGGGCGUAAAGGGAGCGCAGGCGGUUCAUUAAGUUAGGCGUGAAAGCCCCGGGCUCAACCUGGGAACUGCGCUUAAUACUGAUGAACUAGAAAACAGGAGAGGGUAGUGGAAUUUCCAGUGUAGAGGUGAAAUUCGUAGAUAUUGGAAAGAACACCGGUGGCGAAAGCGGCUACCUGGCCUGAUUUUGACGCUGAGGCUCGAAAGCGUGGGGAGCAACAGGAUUAGAUACCCUGGUAGUCCACGCCGUAAACGAUGACAGCUAGAUGUCGGGGGGUUGCCCCUCGGUGUCGCCGCUAACGCAUUAAGCUGUCCGCCUGGGAAGUACGGUCGCAAGAUUAAAACUCAAAGGAAUUGACGG
RNAcentral lists this ribosomal RNA (855 nucleotides) under uncultured marine bacterium. Its description in RNAcentral is "bacterial SSU rRNA". It matches the Rfam family "Bacterial small subunit ribosomal RNA", at positions 8 to 916 of the family's 1533-position model. The record is from RNAcentral.